UCCGGUUUGUCACCGGCGGUCCCCUUAGAGUUCCCAACUUAAUGCUGGCAACUAAGGGCAAGGGUUGCGCUCGUUGCGGGACUUAACCCAACAUCUCACGACACGAGCUGACGACAGCCAUGCACCACCUGUGAUGGUGUCCCGAAGGAAGGGUGUGUUUCCACGCCGGUCACUUACAUGUCAAGCCCAGGUAAGGUUCUUCGCGUUGCGUCGAAUUAAACCACAUGCUCCACCGCUUGUGCAGGCCCCCGUCAAUUCCUUUGAGUUUUAGCCUUGCGGCCGUACUCCCCAGGCGGGGCACUUAAUGCGUUAGCUUCGGCACGGAAGGAGUCGACACCUCCCACACCUAGUGCCCAUCGUUUGCGGCGUGGACUAC
This 376-nucleotide unclassified non-coding RNA is filed under the name uncultured bacterium. RNAcentral describes it as "contains 16S-23S intergenic spacer region". The record is from RNAcentral.